RNAcentral lists this ribosomal RNA (680 nucleotides) under Escherichia coli. RNAcentral describes it as "partial 23S ribosomal RNA". It matches the Rfam family "Bacterial large subunit ribosomal RNA", at positions 2242 to 2915 of the family's 2925-position model. The record is from RNAcentral. Lineage: Bacteria; Pseudomonadati; Pseudomonadota; Gammaproteobacteria; Enterobacterales; Enterobacteriaceae.
GGGUUGCGGACAGUGUCUGGUGGGUAGUUUGACUGGGGCGGUCUCCUCCUAAAGAGUAACGGAGGAGCACGAAGGUUGGCUAAUCCUGGUCGGACAUCAGGAGGUUAGUGCAAUGGCAUAAGCCAGCUUGACUGCGAGCGUGACGGCGCGAGCAGGUGCGAAAGCAGGUCAUAGUGAUCCGGUGGUUCUGAAUGGAAGGGCCAUCGCUCAACGGAUAAAAGGUACUCCGGGGAUAACAGGCUGAUACCGCCCAAGAGUUCAUAUCGACGGCGGUGUUUGGCACCUCGAUGUCGGCUCAUCACAUCCUGGGGCUGAAGUAGGUCCCAAGGGUAUGGCUGUUCGCCAUUUAAAGUGGUACGCGAGCUGGGUUUAGAACGUCGUGAGACAGUUCGGUCCCUAUCUGCCGUGGGCGCUGGAGAACUGAGGGGGGCUGCUCCUAGUACGAGAGGACCGGAGUGGACGCAUCACUGGUGUUCGGGUUGUCAUGCCAAUGGCACUGCCCGGUAGCUAAAUGCGGAAGAGAUAAGUGCUGAAAGCAUCUAAGCACGAAACUUGCCCCGAGAUGAGUUCUCCCUGACUCCUUGAGAGUCCUGAAGGAACGUUGAAGACGACGACGUUGAUAGGCCGGGUGUGUAAGCGCAGCGAUGCGUUGAGCUAACCGGUACUAAUGAACCGUGAGG